UACGAAGGGGGCUAGCGUUGUUCGGAAUUACUGGGCGUAAAGGGCGCGUAGGCGGCGUGUCAAGUCAGGCGUGAAAGCCCCGGGCUCAACCCGGGAACCGCGCUUGAGACUGGCAUGCUCGAGUUCGGGAGAGGAUGGUGGAAUUCCCAGUGUAGAGGUGAAAUUCGUAGAUAUUGGGAAGAACACCGAUGGCGAAGGCAGCCAUCUGGACCGACACUGACGCUGAGGCGCGAAAGCGUGGGGAGCAAACAGG
RNAcentral lists this ribosomal RNA (253 nucleotides) under uncultured bacterium. Its description in RNAcentral is "partial 16S ribosomal RNA". It matches the Rfam family "Bacterial small subunit ribosomal RNA", at positions 524 to 776 of the family's 1533-position model. The record is from RNAcentral.